GAGAAGGAGGCACUGCUGGGCUGAGCUGGCAUCUCUGAGCUGGAGAGGGGCCCACAGGGACCUGGUGUCUCCUGGGAGCGGGGAGCGUGAGGAGGCUCAGGAGGUGAAGUAUUCAGUUCAUCCUCCUGAAGAAAACACCUGCCUGAGGAGAGCCAGUUGCCCUCUCCUCUGUGGAAGGAUAGGAAGAGAACACAUGCCUGUAUAUCUGGACAGCAGCACAGCAGAAAGAACAGGCCAUACGGGAAACAAAGAGGCAAUAAUAAUGAUAAGGAGUCAAUGAUAAAGAUUGCUCAGUGCCCCAAAGUCCUCCGAAAAUGACAGUGACGUGAUGGAGAUUAUUUAAUCCGACCUGCUUCAUGUUGCAAAUACGGAGACCGAGACACUGGAGGAAAAUGACUUGCUGAAGACAGAGCCAGCCCAAGGCAAAGCUGGGGGAACGUCUCUAAAGUGGAGAGUAAACAGAAAAACAUGCCAGCACGACUUCCCAUUCUACUCAAGAAGCUUGGCAUCCACAUGCCCACAGUUGGCACAAUCUGGUAGGAAACCUUGGGGUUUCUCUGACUUGAAGCAGGUCCUGGGCAAUUAGGUCCACCGAUGCUUUCCCCAAGCUAGGAACUUUGUCCCCACAGUUCUACCACGAAACUUUCACCAUUGCACGAAAAUGAACUAGAAGGACACUGUACAUAUGCCCAUGUUUUUCUGCUGCUUCCCUAGUCCUAGAGAUGAUAUUCUGCUGCUCUGGGAUGAGGUGUGUGGUGGGUUGAAGUGGCCCCCAGAAGACACACUCACAUCCCAGAACCUGUACAUGUGACAUUACUUGGAAAAGAAGUUCAUACAGAUGCAAUUAAAUGAAGGAUCUUGAGAAGAAAUCAUCCUGGAUUACCCUGGGGGACCCUAACCCAAAGCACAGUGUCCCUGUAAGAGAACGGAGACGCCAAGAAGUCCCCACAAGGCACGAUUCUUCUCUAGGGCUUUCGAAGGGAGUGGAGCCUGGCCAACACUUCGAUUUCGGACUUCUGUCCUCCAGAACCGGGAGAGAAUACAUUUAUUGUAAGUCACUUAGCUUGUGGCAACAAGCCAAGGAAAUGACUGCAAAUGUGCUCCUAAUGAUAGACCCGAGCUCAGAGACUUCUUCCACCAGAGAUGCUUUUCCCCUCUCUUGGAGAAUUUGCCCGAGCAGCAGCCUCUGUGGAUAGGUCAGCAACCAGCUCUUGGGCAAUGCAAACACCCCGAUGGGGCUGUGGCUGAAGAUCCACCCUGGAAAAAGCAUCUGGGGGUGCUUUCGGCAUCUCUUGGUGGGCAAGGCAUUGGAGAAAUGGCCUAAUUUUGGAACUAGGCAGACCUUGGUUUAAAACUCAACUCCACUAUGGCUUUGUGACUCCAGACAAAAUGCUUACCCUCUCUGUGCUUCAAGUUCCUCAUCUAUAAAAUGAGGAUAAUAGCUCCUACCAUAUAGGAGGGAGCAGAUCCAAGAUCUGAGACUUGCACAUUUUUAGAGACCUUUUUACAGAAGAAGGAUGCAAAGCUUCAAACCCCAAAUUAGAAGUGGGACCUUGAAAGGGCCUUGUGCCAGCGAGGGGCCCCCGAGGCUUACAUUAAGCCUGUCUCUGCUUCCAGGGUGUCCUGAGGUUUAUAGAUAAAAGCAUGAAGCUCUAGACAGGCCAGGCUCCUACUGCAUGCUCUGCAAGAGGUAGAGCUUUCUGAAUGAGGAAUCCAACAGUUAAGUGUCUACCAAAAGGCACACAGAUAUUUUUUCAAACCACAGAGAAAGGUAUGGUAGGAUAAAUUCCAUGGCAGCUUUCUAGCUGUUGCCUUGACAUCCAUUUCCCCUUUCUUUUCCAUAACAGAAAACUGACAUCUGUGGAGAUUGCCAUGUGCUCAACUAAAGCCUAGCUUCCCAAGCAGGUCUGGCAGAGACCUGUGGCCAUGAGUAAGUUCUGGCCCAAAGACAUAUAAGCAAAUAGAGGUCAGAGACUUCUGUAACAUCUUAUGGGAGUAUAUUAGGAAUUGAAUGGCACCUCCCUCAACCCCCAUGCAUAUGUUGAAGCCCUAAUCCUUAGUAUCUAAAAGUAUGAACUUACUUGGAAAUAGGGUCUUUGCAGAUGUAAUUAGUUAAGAUAAGGUCUUGGGGGGCAUAAUACAAUAUGAAUGGUGUCCUUAUAAAAAGAGAACACAGACACACAGAACACAGACACACAAGGCAGAGAAAGCGGUGAUGCUUUUAUGACAUUAGGAACAUCAAAGAUUGCUGGCAAAUUACCAGUAGAAAGGGGAGAGGCAAGGAAUAGAUUUUCUUUAGAGUCCUCAGAAAGAACCGACCCUGCUGACAACUUAAUUUCAAAUUUUUGACUUACAGACCGAGACAAUAAAUAAAUUUCUGUCGUGUAAGCCACUCCGUUUGUGGCAGUUUGUUACAGCAGCCCUAGUAAACUCAUACAGAGAGAUAGGCCCUUCUUCACCAAGUUUCCAUCCUGCUGCCUGGAAAGCAGAUAAGAGGGCUGGCCUUCCAUUAGCCAUCUUGGUCCAUGAGGAUGAGGUAGAGCAAAGAGCUAAAUGGAGCCUAAAACUUUACGGAACUGUCGGAUUAGCCCUGGACUGCCUACCUUGGGGCUUGUUUUCCUGGAAAAUAAGUAUAUUUGAAUAUUUUGUUAUUGUUAUUGUUUUGUUUGUCUUCUGAAACAUAAUCUUCACUGAUACAUUGUUUUGAAAAAUUAAUUAUUCUUUGGGGAAGGAUAAGGAUUGGAAUAACUGCAAACGGAAUUUUAGCAUUAUCUGUGAUGUUUCAUUUUUGAUAGCACAAUGUAUUCAUUAAUUCUUUUGUAAUUAAAACAUUUCACUUUGGGGUGCCUGGGUGGCUCAGUGGGUUAAAGCCUCUGCUUCUGGCUCAGGUCAUGGUCUCAGGGUCCUGGGAUCGAGCCCUGCAUCAGGCUCUCUGUUCGGCAGGGAGCCUGCUUCCUCCCUCUCUCUCUGCCUGCCUCUCUGCCUACUUGUGAUCUCUGUCUGUAAAUAAAUAAAUAAAAUCUUUAAAAAAAUUUUUCACUUUAUAAUAAAUAAAUUGCAAAGGAAAAAAAAAAAAAAGAGGGAUGGCCACCUACAGAUUAAAAGAGACCUGAGAAAUGUAUCAACCAAUUGCAAUGUAUGAACCUGAUUUGGAUCUUGAUCUAAACAAAAAGUUUUAAAAAAUUUAUAAGACAACCCAGGAAAUUUUAAUAUUAAUUGGAUAGUUGAUAUUAUGGAACUACUUAUUUUUAUGCAUGCUCAUAAUAUUGUAGUUAUAUAUUUGAAGUGCUCUUAACUUUUAGCAUCUAAAACAUUGUUUUUCACCCUUAGCACUAUUGUUAUUUUGGGCCAAAUAAUUUUUAGUAUAGUUGACCUACAAUGUGACGUUAGUUUCAGGUGUAUGACAGGACUUGGCCCAAUUAUACAUUAUGCUAUGCUCACCACAGGUAUAAGUACCAUCUGUCACCAUACAAUGCUAUGACAGUGUCAUUAUCUUUCAUCCCAGUGACUUACUCAUCCCAUAACUGGAAGCUGGUACCUCCCAUUCCUCUUCGCCCAUUUUGCCCAUCCCCCACACCCCUCCCCUCUGGCCACCAUCAGUCUGUUCUCAGGGUUUUAUAGAUCUGAUUCUGCUUUUUGUUUACUCAUGCUGUUGUUUAUUCACGCUGUUCAUUCAUUUUACUUAUGAGUGAAAUCCCAUGGUAUUUGUCUUUCUUAGUCUGACUUAUUUCACUGAGCAUAAUACUCACUAGGUCCUCCAUGUUGUCUCAAAUAAUCCUUUGUUGUGGGAAGCUCUCCCAGGUCUUGUAGGUGUUCAGCCCUAUCCCUGAAUUGGACUCACCACACGCCCAUCGCACACCCCUCUCCCAAGGUAGGACGAUCAGUAGCAUCUUUAGACAUAGCCAAUGUCUCCUGAAGGCAAAUUUGGUGUGGGUUCAGAACUACCGCUCUAAAAUUUGGAGAAAUUUUAGAGUAAUUUACUGGAAUAUUUAUGGGUGAAAUGAUUUGUUGUUCCAUAAUGAAAAGUUUAAAAUACAUUUUAAAAAAUUUGUAAGAUUCUGUUUGUAUGCUCUUUCUGUCAACGUGGUGGAGUCCUUGUGAAAUUUCUUCUUACU
Molecule: long non-coding RNA, 4115 nt
Organism: Mustela lutreola (European mink)
Lineage: Eukaryota; Metazoa; Chordata; Mammalia; Carnivora; Mustelidae
Exons: 3
Source: RefSeq, a predicted model, not a curated record